CAAGACACUGGCAUAAACUUUGGCCUUUUUAUGAGAAGAUUUGUUCUGUCCCUAUCAGAGGCCAUGAGUGCCAGGGACAGUGAGGAAGGUUGACUGGUAUAUCGUUUCGGAGGAGAGCCUGUAUGGCUAUAUAUUAUAAGAUAGGUUUCUUGAGCACUAAAUCAGCAGAAACAUUUCAAGGAUUGUGUGACAUUGAGGACUGGAGUAAUUAUGCUGAAAUUUCAGCUUUGCCAUCACAGGAAUAUAUUGCAUAACAUUUUUUAUUUAUUUAUUUUUUAAAUAGAAAAAGACUUCUUUUAAAAUCUGAUUCAUCCCAAACUUUUUAAUGGCAGUCAAUGUUGAGAGUUCCAUGUAUUUUAUGUAAAAAUGUUUACGUCAUUACCAGUUGUGACACAAAUCAUUUGUUCAGUCAGCACCUGAUUAUAAAACUCCCUCUACAAAUCAUUUCUGUUCUUCUCACUCGGCCAGAGUCCUUUGUAUCUGGGACAGUAUUAUACAUAAAAGCCUUUCUGUUAUUAUUUUUUCCUUCUUUUCAUGAAAAAAUGUUUCUCAGGGUUCUAAUAUACCUGGAUAAAGAUAUUCCCAAUUUAUCUUAAUGGAGUAACUCCACUGUUAAUGCAACAUUGCAAAUGCUGCCAUAUUUGUUUCAAAGACAGUUUUUGAAAGUGAUUUUUAGCCAGUCAUCCGAGCUAUAAAUGCUUUGUGAUUGAUCACUCUUGCAGCAAACAGGCAAAUAUGUUGCAAAUGUGUCUGCAAAAAUGCCUUUUGCCCACAUAAUGGUGUUGGUACAUUAGCUUACUGAGAUUUCAGUAGUAAAGGAAGAGCAUCUGUACCCCAAAUGGAAUCCCGAUGCACUGCCCUCUUCUGUUUAGGAGGUGAACCUCCAAACUGGUAUAAUGUCGGGGAAACUUGCCCUCAACAAACUCCACCAAGAGCUGGCAGAGAAGGGCUUCAACAAGGUUUAUGUGAUCAUCUGGAUGAUGACACCAUGGCUGUGACCAGGCAAUGUCCCAGCGCACAUCAGUCUGUUGUGACUGUGUCUCGUUUAGCCUUUAAAAACGCAGAAACACACCAAUACAGAGAGCAUCUGGCCCCAAUGUACUGUACAUCCCAGGUCAAAUUGAGGUGGUGAUGUUAGAAGCACGUACAGUGAGAAACGCUGAGUCAUAUAUGAAAGACGAGAGGUUCAUGGUCUACAUGGUUGAGAUCCGCUAACACAUACAGUUAAAGGACAGUGAAAUCAUUAAACGGGGAGAUGACAUCACUGAGGGCUGCAGUGAUUUUGUUGAGGAGGUUUUGUUUGAAUAGCUCACACCUGGUAGUGUAACUGCAUUCAGUUUAAUGUCCAAACUGACUCUGGCUGAGUUGAAAGUGUUGUUAUUCCGAUGUGACGAGGAGGAACAGGAAGAUGGUGGGUGGGUGGGUGGCUGCUACAAUAUACCAUCCUGGAUGCUGCUGAAGGAUGGAGGCCUACAAGGUACCAAUAUACACAUGUAACAUGACUGCAAUGAGAAUACUUUUUGUGGGCAAAGAAAACAAAAAUAACAACUUUAUUCAGUAAUUCAAACAAUGCAUUUACUACCUUAAUGUGGUAAUUGCGUUGCUGUUUAUGAAGGACCAUAAAGCUCUCGGGUUUCAUCAAAAAUAUCUCAAUUUGUGUUCUGAAGAUGUGUAUGGAUUGACAUGAGGGUGAGUAAUUAAUAACAGAAUUUUCAUUUUUGGGCGAACUAUCCCUUUAAGUUGCAUUGUGAUUAAAAUAAUUUUUAUUGAUGUGUCAAUAGUAUAUACACUUCUACAUAUUACGCACUUAUUACAAAAUGUCACCUAUACAGGUCUGCCGCAUUUCUCCUCUGAAAUCUUCUGCUGUUGGGGGAGAGACACUUUCAUAGCGGACUACUGUAAUAUUGUUCCCAACGGCACAGAUAUUCUUAUGUGCCCUGUGUCACGCAUGUAUCCCACUGAUGAUUCUGAGGCACAGCCUCUGGGGACAGUGUUAAGAAGAAUGGAAAAAAAAAAUCUAUGACUGCUUAUGAUACUUGACAGUACAAUGCCAUGCCCUACUUAUAUGAUUCAUUAAGGGGAGGCUUUAAUGUGGAGGACAAAGUAAAUCCCAAGACAGGAUUUGUUUAGGGUGGAAAUCGCUUCAACUGUGGGACAUAUAUGGAUAAAAUGGGAGAGAGCCACAAAGCCCAUAAUAGAGUUGUUCCAGCCACACCCAGGGAUGGCUCUGUGGAGGAGAUUGUGGGUCUCAGUAAGUCAGGAGUGCGCUGGCUGAUGACGAUGAAUGAGAAUGGAAAUUCCCCAUACUCCUCUGUCACAAUACACAGAGAUGGAACAGAACAGUCGGUGUCCUAUUAAGAUUGGAAUCAAAGGAUCCAGGAGAAUUUUGAAAGGUUUUUCUACGUGUCAGAAGACCCUUCAAACCAAAAUGAGCAUCAUCCUGACCUGGUCCACAAGAAAUGCAUUUACAAAGACAGUUACGGGCCUCUAGCCCCUGAUGCGACUACCAACUCAGACCUAACUUCACCAUCGCCAUGGUGGUGGUGAGUCCAAGUGCUUAUAAGAGAUUCUUUCCAAGAAUUUUUGAGGAUGUUCUUUUAUACAGUUCUUUGUUUCACUAGGCACCAGACUUGUUUACUGUGCAAGGAGCAUGGGAGGCUUUAGAGGGAGUAGAGAAAAAAGCUGCUUGGUCCUCUGAGAAUGAAAACGCUGGAUGCAGAGUCAGUAGAAAACAACACCUGCUGUCUGCCUUGAUCUGGUGCACUGCGGUGUUUAUGACAACGCCCUGGAUAAUGACAGCUACAACUGUGCGAAAGGAUUCAACUAUCACCAAGGACCUGUAUGUUUUAAUAAAUUAAAGGAAAAGAUUGUCCACAUUUAACAUUUUGUCAUAAUUUCUUAACCCUCAAGUUGUUCCAAAACUGUAAUGAUUUCUUUCUUAUUUUGUACC
Carassius carassius (crucian carp) is the source of this 2950-nucleotide long non-coding RNA. RefSeq lists it as uncharacterized. Lineage: Eukaryota; Metazoa; Chordata; Actinopteri; Cypriniformes; Cyprinidae. The transcript is spliced from 10 exons. The record is from RefSeq and is a predicted model, not a curated record.